AUCAAGAUUGCAAACCCUACUUUUCAUUCACAACCGUUCAUUACACAUCGAUACUCUCUGCUCUUCUUCUCUAUGUGUUCAGAGGUGAGGUUACGUAUGUCUCAUCAUAUCAUUUGCAAUUUAGUGUUAGCCUAACCUUAAUUUUCUUCUUUUCUUCAAACCCUAAAAUCGAUUGUUCUUUGUUGAAGAUUGAAGAUCGGCGCUUUAUGUUCAAUCGAUUUCAACAUGUUUGUUUGGAUUUUGUUUUACUUUGUUGAUGUAUGUAAAAUUAAUUUUUUUAAUCUAAAUUGCAAUCGAGUAAUGUUAGAAAACGAUGAUUUCAAUUUGGAGGAUGGUAAAUUGAAGCAGUGAGCUCCUCAAACCAGAACCACGAAUACGUUAUCCAACCUUCAUGUCUCUGUGAUUAAAGUUUAAAGACACACACUAACUGUUUGAUGAAAUGCUUCAACCAAAAUUUAAAGAUGCAAAUUACUUGCCUGUGAGUUUUUGCCAUGGACAUCAUCUGGAAAUAAAAUGCCUGUGAGUUCUUGCCUCCUAGUUAGACUUCUUUGUUUUUCAAAUUAAAUGUUUGUGAUCUGUAACAAGGUUUCAAUAUUUUAGUUUCGAAAUCUGUACAUGGUGUUGGUAGAUUCAUCUGCGUUUGAUAUGCUGGUAGAUGAAUCUGCAUUUGUCGUGAUGUUUUGUAGAUAAUUAGUUUGUCAAAUAUAAUUACAAAGUCUAUAUUGUAUAGAUGAUAAUUAUUUUUUUAAUGAAAUCAUUUGGAGGUUUUUCGUUAAAAAUACACUUUGGCCUUCUUUCGAAAUGUUUUCUCUUCAUCUCACUUUUUCUAACUUCACCAUAUGCUUAUUGAUCUAUAUGUUAACUAUGAUUGUGAUCUUGAAGCUCCUAAUUCGUUUGAAGCUCCCAAACACCCUCAGAAGAGGUUGAAGGUUGGUAGUAUUGGCUGCAAGAAAUUGUAUUCCCCAUAGUAUAAAUUUGAUUGUUACGUUUCAAUAUAAAACCGACGUUGAUGUAUUCUCCUUCCUUUAAUGCUUUCACUUUAAUGAACAACAAUUUUAAAUCUUUCAAAAUGGCAGAUUUUGCUAUUGAUGAUGAGUAUUAGUUUCUUAAAUAAGGUGAAAGCUUCUUGUAAUCACCGAUUUCUUAAUCGUUUUUAAAGCCAUAAGAUUCGUAAUUGUAAAUUAAAUGCUUUUUAAAAUCCUUUUUUUUGGUCCGACGUGAUGGCUUUAUUGUCUUCUGAUGAGUGUCUUUUCACGCAAGGUGGAAGCAUAUCCAAAACUGGUAUGACUGAUUUGAAAUAUAUGUUGAACAUUGUUCAAAAAACUUAACACAACUAUCUGUACCAACUUACAGAAACAUUAGUGUUUAUGAAUUCAAAGUGAUGGGAAUUUGGGAAAUAUGAAUAUGAUCUUUAUGAUAUAAUGGCUUGCUUCAGGUAUGUGGCGGUCGUUGAAGCUCACACGUAUAAAGAAACAUUUGGAUGCUAUGUGGCUUUAAUUUUAAAGAGGUUUCGCCGGCUCUAUGCCAUGCUAAGCUAUUGUUUUCAAGGGGAUGAACUUUGUUUCUGAAGAAGAUUAUGGUGUUAGAUCGUUGUUGUUUACUGUAGGGGCGGACCUAGGUUAUCCCCUUGGUGGGCGGGCACACCUAAUGGAUUUUAUUCGGUUAGUAUACAUGUAAGAUGUGUCCCUUAUGAAAUUUUGAUAACGCACCCCAUGAGCGAAGAUGAAAGAACAGAACAAAGGAGGAAAAUUUUCGGUGGACAGAAAAGUUGUAGAGGUAUUGGAGGAGCUCGAAAGAUUAAAAAGGAAAAAGAAUUUUAAGUGAGAAAAGAAGGAAGAUGAUUCUUGUAUUCAGUUCACCUCGAAAAUUGAAAUUGCAGUACAUUGAAAAUUAUAUUAUAUUCGAUUUAAAUAAUCUAAAAGAAUGACAAA
Helianthus annuus (common sunflower) is the source of this 1931-nucleotide long non-coding RNA. RefSeq lists it as uncharacterized. NCBI's taxonomy places the organism in Eukaryota, Viridiplantae, Streptophyta, Magnoliopsida, Asterales, Asteraceae. The record is from RefSeq and is a predicted model, not a curated record. The transcript is spliced from 6 exons.